GAGGAAGCCCAACUUCCUUGCAUUCCUCCACCAUGGCUAACAUUCCUCUCCUCCUCGUCCUCCUUUUCGCUUUUUGCAGUGGUAAUGUAGUGAAUUUGUUGUUUGUGUUUUGAAAUGUUCCACCUCUUUUUUCCUCCUCCUAGAAAUAUACUUUGAGAAGAGGACUUCCUCUAUUACCUUGCUCUCUGUUGGGUUUUCUUCCCUUUUCUCGUGGCUUGGAUGGAACAAAUGUUUCUCUCUAUUUUCUCUGCUUUCUUUCAGGGGUCUUUAGCCAGUUUGUAUUGACUCAGACACCUUCGCUGUCAGUACCCCCUGGAGAAACGGCCACGAUCCCCUGUACCAGGAGCACUGGGAAAAUUGCAGACUACUAUGUAUCCUGGUACCAGCAAAAGCCAGGCAGUGCCCCCAAACUGAUUAUAUAUCAGCACAGCACCAGACCCUCUGGAAUCCCAGACAGAUUCUCUGGUUCCUAUGACACCUCAGCCAACUCUGCCACCUUAACUGUCUCCAACCUUCAAGCAGAAGAUGAGGCUGUUUAUUACUGUUUAUCGUAUGACAGCAGCAGCAAGUGC
This is a non-coding RNA of Podarcis lilfordi (Lilford's wall lizard), 572 nucleotides long. NCBI's taxonomy places the organism in Eukaryota, Metazoa, Chordata, Lepidosauria, Squamata, Lacertidae. The record is from the annotation of a GenBank genome assembly.